RNAcentral lists this ribosomal RNA (2908 nucleotides) under Yersinia rohdei. RNAcentral describes it as "bacterial LSU rRNA". It matches the Rfam family "Bacterial large subunit ribosomal RNA". Lineage: Bacteria; Pseudomonadati; Pseudomonadota; Gammaproteobacteria; Enterobacterales; Yersiniaceae. The record is from RNAcentral.
UUAAGCGACUAAGCGUACACGGUGGAUGCCUAGGCAGUCAGAGGCGAUGAAGGGCGUGCUAAUCUGCGAUAAGCGUCGGUAAGCUGAUAUGAAGCGUUACAACCGACGAUACCCGAAUGGGGAAACCCAGUGCAAUUCGUUGCACUAUUGCAUGGUGAAUACAUAGCCAUGCAAGGCGAACCGGGGGAACUGAAACAUCUAAGUACCCCGAGGAAAAGAAAUCAACCGAGAUUCCCCUAGUAGCGGCGAGCGAACGGGGAAGAGCCCAGAGUCUGAAUCAGUUUGUGUGUUAGUGGAAGCGUCUGGAAAGUCGCAGGGUACAGGGUGAUACUCCCGUACACAAAAACACACUUGCUGUGAACUCGAUGAGUAGGGCGGGACACGUGACAUCCUGUCUGAAUAUGGGGGGACCAUCCUCCAAGGCUAAAUACUCCUGACUGACCGAUAGUGAACCAGUACCGUGAGGGAAAGGCGAAAAGAACCCCGGCGAGGGGAGUGAAAUAGAACCUGAAACCGUGUACGUACAAGCAGUGGGAGCCUUGAUUUAUCAGGGUGACUGCGUACCUUUUGUAUAAUGGGUCAGCGACUUAUAUUUUGUAGCAAGGUUAACCGAAUAGGGGAGCCGUAGGGAAACCGAGUCUUAACUGGGCGUCUAGUUGCAAGGUAUAGACCCGAAACCCGGUGAUCUAGCCAUGGGCAGGUUGAAGGUUGGGUAACACUAACUGGAGGACCGAACCGACUAAUGUUGAAAAAUUAGCGGAUGACUUGUGGCUGGGGGUGAAAGGCCAAUCAAACCGGGAGAUAGCUGGUUCUCCCCGAAAGCUAUUUAGGUAGCGCCUCGUGAACUCAUCUUCGGGGGUAGAGCACUGUUUCGGCUAGGGGGUCAUCCCGACUUACCAAACCGAUGCAAACUCCGAAUACCGAAGAAUGUUAUCACGGGAGACACACGGCGGGUGCUAACGUCCGUCGUGAAGAGGGAAACAACCCAGACCGCCAGCUAAGGUCCCAAAGUCAUGGUUAAGUGGGAAACGAUGUGGGAAGGCAUAGACAGCCAGGAUGUUGGCUUAGAAGCAGCCAUCAUUUAAAGAAAGCGUAAUAGCUCACUGGUCGAGUCGGCCUGCGCGGAAGAUGUAACGGGGCUAAACCAUGCACCGAAGCUGCGGCAGCGACACUUAGGUGUUGUUGGGUAGGGGAGCGUUCUGUAAGCCGUUGAAGGUGACCUGUGAGGGUUGCUGGAGGUAUCAGAAGUGCGAAUGCUGACAUAAGUAACGAUAAUGCGGGUGAAAAACCCGCACGCCGGAAGACCAAGGGUUCCUGUCCAACGUUAAUCGGGGCAGGGUGAGUCGACCCCUAAGGCGAGGCUGAAAAGCGUAGUCGAUGGGAAACAGGUUAAUAUUCCUGUACUUGGUGUUACUGCGAAGGGGGGACGGAGAAGGCUAGGCUAGCCGGGCGACGGUUGUCCCGGUUUAAGCAUGUAGGCGGAGCGACUUGGUAAAUCCGGUUGCUUAUCAACGCUGAGGUGUGAUGACGAGCCACUACGGUGGUGAAGUAGUUGAUGCCAAGCUUCCAGGAAAAGCCUCUAAGCAUCAGGUAACAUUAAAUCGUACCCCAAACCGACACAGGUGGUCAGGUAGAGAAUACUCAGGCGCUUGAGAGAACUCGGGUGAAGGAACUAGGCAAAAUGGUGCCGUAACUUCGGGAGAAGGCACGCUGGCAUUAGGUAAAGGGACUUGCUCCCGGCGCCGAAGCCAGUCGCAGAUACCAGCUGGCUGCAACUGUUUAAUAAAAACACAGCACUGUGCAAACACGAAAGUGGACGUAUACGGUGUGACGCCUGCCCGGUGCUGGAAGGUUAAUUGAUGGGGUCAGCCGCAAGGCGAAGCUCUUGAUCGAAGCCCCAGUAAACGGCGGCCGUAACUAUAACGGUCCUAAGGUAGCGAAAUUCCUUGUCGGGUAAGUUCCGACCUGCACGAAUGGCGUAAUGAUGGCCAGGCUGUCUCCACCCGAGACUCAGUGAAAUUGAACUCGCUGUGAAGAUGCAGUGUACCCGCGGCAAGACGGAAAGACCCCGUGAACCUUUACUAUAGCUUGACACUGAACAUUGAGCCUUGAUGUGUAGGAUAGGUGGGAGGCAUCGAAGCGUGGACGCCAGUCUGCGUGGAGCCAACCUUGAAAUACCACCCUUUAAUGUUUGAUGUUCUAACUCGGCCCCAUAAUCUGGGGUGAGGACAGUGUCUGGUGGGUAGUUUGACUGGGGCGGUCUCCUCCCAAAGAGUAACGGAGGAGCACGAAGGUUAGCUAAUCACGGUCGGACAUCGUGAGGUUAGUGCAAAGGCAUAAGCUAGCUUGACUGCGAGAGUGACGGCUCGAGCAGGUACGAAAGUAGGUCUUAGUGAUCCGGUGGUUCUGAAUGGAAGGGCCAUCGCUCAACGGAUAAAAGGUACUCCGGGGAUAACAGGCUGAUACCGCCCAAGAGUUCAUAUCGACGGCGGUGUUUGGCACCUCGAUGUCGGCUCAUCACAUCCUGGGGCUGAAGUAGGUCCCAAGGGUAUGGCUGUUCGCCAUUUAAAGUGGUACGCGAGCUGGGUUUAGAACGUCGUGAGACAGUUCGGUCCCUAUCUGCCGUGGGCGUUGGAAGAUUGAGAGGGGCUGCUCCUAGUACGAGAGGACCGGAGUGGACGAAUCACUGGUGUUCGGGUUGUCAUGCCAAUGGCAUUGCCCGGUAGCUAAAUUCGGAAGAGAUAACCGCUGAAAGCAUCUAAGCGGGAAACUUGCCUCGAGAUGAGUCUUCCCUGGGGCUUUAAGCCCCCUGAAGGAACGUUAAAGACUAUGACGUUGAUAGGCUGGGUGUGUAAGUGCAGCGAUGCAUUGAGCUAACCAGUACUAAUGAUCCGUGAGGCUUAACCUU